Non-coding RNA from Rattus norvegicus (Norway rat), 15170 nucleotides. NCBI's taxonomy places the organism in Eukaryota, Metazoa, Chordata, Mammalia, Rodentia, Muridae. The record is from RefSeq and is a predicted model, not a curated record.
GUUGUGGUUGGAGUCAUGUAUGUUUUUUAUGUAGCUUAAGUUCAUUACUUUAACUUUGCAAACAUUUCCUUCCACAAGCUGCUUGUUCAUUCCGUUGGCUGACUUGGCUGUGCGGAAGCUCUGUUGUGGGUGGUCAUGUUUAUUUAUAUCUGCUUUUGUUGCCAGUCUUUCACAAAGCAGGGGAAGAGUUAUGGCUGGGGUCAUGGAAGUUUUCUCCUGCACCCCGUUCUAGUUUGAUGGUUUUAGAUUUUUACAUCUAGGAAUGGAUUCCUGUAUCCAGUAUAAGGUAAGACUGUCUCAUGCUUUGGUAUGUAGUUAUCCAUUUUAAACAACACAUUUCUUAAGAAAACUAUCAGCCAGGAGGGGCAGCACACACCUGUAAUCUUAGGAAAAGGGAUCAUGAGUUUGAGACCAUUCUGGGUUAUAAGAAAGAGAGAUGGAGGUGAGGGGAAACACUUCUCUGUUGUAUCUUCUUGAUGGCCUUGUUGAAGAUCUGUUAGCUUUAUAUAGUUGGGGUUUUGUUCCAUUGGCCUGUGUGUCUGUUUUUAUGACAGUAAGAAAUGUCUUGACUACUGUAACUUUUAAAUAUAAAUUAUAAUCACAAAACAUAAUGCCUUUUUUUCUUCUCUCUCAAGAUUUCUUCAGUUAUUUGGGCUCGUGUGACCCACUUUUUGAUGGAGACAAUGGUGAAUUCGUGGGCUAUACCUCUGGUCUAUCACCUUCUCUCCAAUGGCAUUUCUUAGCUUUCCUCUCUUCAUCUGUGAGCAUCAGUGGCAUUAACCUUGCUCUGCAGAUGGGGAAGCAGAAACUGUGUCCUAAGGCAGGGAGGGGUGUGGUCUGAGUCAAAGGCAACUUUCUCUAUGUGGAUGGCUGCUUCAAGGCAAGCUGCCUUAGCAGGUAAAGAACAAAGAACACAGAGUGACGAGUCUUUGGACUCCCUUCCACUGUGUCACAUCACCUGAGGUCUUUCACCUUUACAGUUGUGCCACGUAUGUUCUUAGGGUGGCUUUGAAAACAGAGCUGGUUUUAUGAGAUCCGUAAAUUGUCUAUAAAAUGUAAGUCUUGAGUAAUGUGGUUAAAUGGUUACUCUUCCAGUGCCGUGGAUGCCUCCCCAGCCAGGACAGAAGCUUGAGAUCUAAUACUGUUAUUCAGGGAUGUUAGAGGAUGGGAUGACAUGGUUGAAAUGAAUUCCUGGAACUUCACUGCCAUUUCUCCCAUUUCUGUUUCCAUACUGUUUCUUGGGGUUCUUUAGAGGAGAACUGAUGGACAGACGGGAUAAUAUAUUGAAACUGGAUUUAGUAAACUGACUGAUACAAGAUGGUCAGAUAGUCCCACAAUGGCCAUCUCACACUGGAGAAGUCAAGAAUCCCAUCGUUGCUUAGUUCAUGAGGUUGGACGCUUUAGUAGUCCCAAUUUGGUGCUGAAGGCCUGGAGCGAUCCUGGAGGGUUGCCAGUCUUCAUUGUACCUGGGAAUCCUGAAGAAGCUGGUUCUAGUAUCAGUGAUGGAAUAGAGCAAGGGCAGUGAUAGGAUAGAUGAGCUUGCCAACAAAAGUAAGGCAAACAGAAACAAACCAAAACAAAAAAACCCUAUUUCCUGACUUCUAUGUGGAUUCCAGAGAUCAAACUUAAGUCUUCAGACCUGGUAUGCACUCCUCAGACUGAGAAUAUCCUCAGCCCAGAUUCUUUGUUUUUAGCUGGGAAAUAUUUUAUUCUUUAGGGAUGAUAGACAGAGGCAUUUUGAAUAUUAUAGUUUUCUUUUUUUUUCUUUUUCUUUUUUCUCUUUUUCGGAGCUGGGGACUGACUCAGGGCCUUGGCUUGCUAAGCAAGCAUUCUACCACUGAGCUAAAUCCCCAACCCCUAUAGUUUUCUUAUAAGGACAAUUUCAUUAGUGUCUGACUGGCUUUCUCUAAGUCCCUCAGUUUCAGAUUUUCCUUCUUCUGUGAGUAGAUGCCAAAUACUAUUAUGAUAGUUAAUCUCGGUUGUCAACUUGAAUGGACCUAGAAUGAACUAAAAGGCAUGAUACUGGGCAUUCUCAAGAAUUUUCUUAGAUUACUUGAAGCAGGAAGCCCCACCCUAAAUGUGGGAAGCACCUCCUGUGGCAGACCAGAGAAAAGGAAGGUGCAAAAGGAAAGAAAAGUGUAGUUGGAUGUGGUGGCUCAGGCCUUUAAUCCCAGCACUUGGGAGGCAGAGGCAGGCAGAUGAUGAUGAGUUGGAGGUCUACAUGUCAAUUUCCAGGCCAGACUCUGUCUCAAAAAAAAUGUAAGAUAUGAUGUGAUAUAACCCCAGUUGUGUAGAGAGGGAGACAGGUAGAUCCUCAAGCUUCUUGGAUAGCCAGCUCCUUAGCCAGAAGAUAACUCAAAUGGCCUCAGGAAGUUCCUGAAACUAAUCAAGUUCACUAGGUCCCACCCUCCCAAGAGUAAGCAAAGAAGAUUCAGACAAGAUAACCACAAAGAAGAGACUGAGACAGGACCAGCUUCCUAGAAGAAACAGAGACCAAGACAUUUGGGAAGGACACGCUCCAAACUUUUGAGCUGACUACAGGCUGUGCAAUGUGCUCCAGGUUCUUGACUUUUCUGAGCUGUCACCUGUGCUGUGGUAAACUUUGGUGAUGCAACUGUCCUUAAAUCAUUUCUGCUUUUGUAAGUAACCUCUCACCCAUAUUCCUUUAACUAAGCCCAAUAAAACUUAUGGUUCACCAAUUGUACUUUGGUGAUAUCCGUACUAUGGUAUGUCAAGAGUGUCCUAUGUGGGGGGUGGGGAUGGGGAGGAAUAGAUGUGUGUGUUAUAUCUCCCCAGGAAAGUCUUGUCAGAUAACAAUGGCCUAACCUAAUUGCUAAGUUCAGGUUCACUGACAGACACUGUCAAAAUUCAGUUGAUGGCUCUUUGUGAUGGCACAUGUUUGAACACUUGGUCCCAGUUGGUGGUGCUGUUUGGGGAGAUUUUGGAACCUCUAGGAAGUAGAGUUUUCCUGAAGGAAGGACAUAACUGGAGGAGGUCUAUGAGAGUAUAUAGCUUGUUCCACAUCUAGUUCACUUUCUGUGCUUCUUGUGUGUAGCUGGCUUUCUCACCACCACAAUGGGUGUCCCUCUGGGGACAAAAUAAAUACUGUAGUCUUGAAGUUGUUCUUGAUCAUGGUUAUUUUAUCACAGCCACAGAAAAGGAAUAUGAUAAGGAACAACAGCAAAGGUUGACCUCAGAUCUCCCACACAGACAUAGACACAGAGGCACACAUAGACAUACACACAGACACAUACACAUAGACACACGAAUACAUAUGUAGACACAGACACACACAUAGACACAAAGACGCACAUGUAGACACACAUACAGACACACAUAGAGACACAUAUACACACAAGACAUUCACAGACACAGAGACACACAGUCACGUACACAGACACAUAGAGAGAGAGACACACAGACACACACAGAGACACAGACACACACACACAGACACACACACAGACACACACACAGACACACACAUAGACACACACACACAGAGACACACUCACAGAUAUAGACACAUAGACACACAGACACACAGACACAGAGACAUACACAUAUGUGUAUAUAUAUACAUUUACACACAGACACAUUUACACACAGACAUACCUAGAAACACACACGCACAUAAGGAAUCUUGUGAUUAGAACAUGUCAAAAAGGAAAACAUCUUUUAGCCACACAUAAAGGCAAAAAUAAGCCCAGUGGUCUGUUUGCUUUAUUUAGUCUUUGAUAGAAAUAACCGUUUGGUUAUAGUUUUGUUCUGCUCUUCCAGGCAUCCAGACGUCUGGUGCACAUGCUGAAUUCCCAGAGCCUGUCUGGAGACAUGGGCGGGCUCUGCUCCCCUGACAUCUUUCCCCAGAAGCCUUUCUGUUUCUCCCUCUUUUUCCCUCCUGGAUUCUUCAGCAAAAAGGCUUACAGCUUGAGAGGGCAAAGUUUCUAGUUUACAAUCCCUGCUUCCCCCAGUGUUAAGGGCAUAUCAAGCCGUGCUUAAUGCAUGAGAAGGCUUAAUGAAACUUAGCAUUUUGGUUCUUGACGACUGGCCAGUUCACACGCCACUGACUCCCAAAGGAUUCAUAGUAAGUCUUUAACUUGACCCUUAGAAAGCAUUUAAGAAAAUUCAGGGAACCCAUCAAAACAAAACCCACAACCAGAUGCUGAGCUGUGAGCUAUGAGCAGCAGGCAUGUACUGGUCAAGGAAUUAGAUUACUCAAGGUGGUGACUCAUUCAGCAACUAUGUAGUGUUUGUGGUCGGGGAAACCUUCGCCAGAACAUGACUAAAAUCUAUUGGCAGCUUCUUAAAAGGAAUCAUGACGGGGCCUAAACCAAUGAGUAUGUAAGUGUGCUGUUUUUUUUUUCUUUUCUUUCUUCUUCUGUGUUUUUCACUAAGUCAGAAUCAGAGUGUAAGAAAACACCAGCCCUCCUGACAUUGGCUAUUAUAGAAUAGUCUAUGGAACAUUCCCAACAGCUACCCAGUGGGGCCAGGACACGUAUGUAUGUGUGUGUGUGUGUGUGUGUGUGUGUGUGUGUGUGUGUGUGUGCGCACGCGUGUGUGUAUGUGUAUGUGUAUGUAUGUGUUUAUGUGUAUGUGUGUUUGUUUUUGAGGUGUGUGGGAGGUGUGAGGGUGUUUUUUAUUUUGAGGUGUGUGUGUGUGUGUGUAUGUUUGUUUUUGAGGUUUGUUGGGAGGUGUGAGGGUGUUUUUUAUUUUGAAGUGUGUGUGUGUGUGUGUGUGUGUGUGUGUGUGUGUGUGUGUGUGUGUUUGUAUGUGUGUUGACAAUGACCAAGAUUGUAAUGGGCAAAGAAAUCAGAUUUAAACAAACUGUUAAAGAUAUGCUCUGGGUAAUUUACUUUUUUACAUUUAUUAAUUAAUUUAGUGUGUACAUGUUUGUUUGCAUGUGUCGGGCACACCUGGAGAUCAGAGAACAACUCCGACAGUCAGUUGGAUCUCUUCUUUCACCACAUGGUUCUGAGGACCAAAGUCAGGCUCAGUGAGUGUCCUGUCAACACCAGGGCACGAAAGAAAGAAGAUGCCACCCACCGGAUCAGUGAUUGAGACAGGACACAGGAAAAUUAGCGAUACAGGUGAGGUAGGAAAUGAUUGGCAAAACUUGGAAAAAAUUUGCUUAUGGAUCUUAUGUUUUGAGAAAGGCUGAGCCCAGCAGCUGCCCCAUACUCCUGGGGCAGCAGAGGGAAUAAUGUGGGUGUUAGUGUGGCUAACGCAGUAGAGUGGGUUAUGUAAACCAGGAUGGCCAUGAUCAGCAGACAGAUGCCAGUGUUGGCAUAGUCAAAAAGAAAGAGUAGAAGAAAGCAGGUCACAAUGAGUGCAGUUCCGGGCCCCAGUAAGGUGUCAUCCUUGCAGUUGAAGUUCUUUAUCCCUGACUCCAGACACAAAAGAACAUCUGGCAUUGAAAAUGCAUGACCAGGAAGUGUAAUAACCCACCCCUUCAGUAGGGACCCAUGUGUCUAUCCAUGAAGCCUGUUCAUUACUGUGGGGACUACUGCCAAUAUGAUAUGUGUGUGUGGGGGGGGUUGUAUGUGUAUGGGGGUGAGUCUAUAAGGGUGUGAUGUAGUAGUUAUGUGUGUGUGUGUAUGUAUAUGUGGUAUGGUGUGUAUGUAUGUAAUGCCCAUGUGUGUGAGUGAAGUUAUAGUGUGGUGUAUAUGUGUAUGGUAUGCUGUGUGUGUGUAUGUGUCUGUGAGUAUAUAUGAGUGUGUGGAUGUGUGAGUAUGUAUGUAUGUAUGUAUAUGUGUGUUUUAUGUAUAUGUGUGUAUAAGUGUGUGUAGGUUUGUAUAUGUGUAUGUAUGAGUCUGUGUGGCUGUGUGUGCAUGUAUGUGUGGUAUAGUGUAUAUGUGUGUAGUACGUGUGUGUGUGUGUGUGUGUGUGUGUGUGUUGAGGUAUAUAGGGCAUGCUGUGUGUAUGCUGUAGUGCAUAUGUGUGUGUGGUGUGUCUGUGUGAGUUAAUGGGCACACAAUCAAACUUAUACAACUUGCCAGAGGCUCUUGUUCCUGUCCCCUGAUUAGAUUAGAGGCUCAAUAAGAGAAAGGCAGUGUUCCUGGAGCAUCCACAGGGUAAGCUGACAGGAGGAAGUGAGUUGAAACUCUAAAGUGGCAGCUCUGAUUUUUCUCUGUGGGGGCAGCUUUUGUGGGAGUCACCAUAACCAAAAAUUUCCUUGCACACAGAUGAAUUUUGAACAAGUUCAUUCGUUAGGAACCUGGAUAUCUCUUGACUUUCUGUCAUAAUUGUGUGUCACUUUAAAGUCUUUCUAGCUCCCCGGGGUUUUAAGUACAAUGAAUCUACACUAGCACAGCCCUUUCCAAUAGAUCCAGAGCCUUAGACAUCAUAAAACUUUAUAGCAGAAAGUGACCUUGGAAAUGAUCUAUUUCAAUGCUUCAUUUCACAGAGAGGGAAAUUGAGUUAUCCAGGGGUUAAAUGACUUGUCAAAGGUUAGCGUUCAGGAAGAGGCAGAAGCAGGCUUUAAUCUCAUUUCCUGACCCCCUUUGUCUACCAAAAUCAUGUGUGAUGCUCCCAGAGCCGGGCUGUAAACUAACGAAGAAGGAUCUUGCUCCAAGUAGAACGCUGAAUCGUGAGCGACCCUGUGUGUGGGGCAGUAGUCUCUGGUAUAUAUUCAAAGCGUAUGCUAAUGACCACUUUUCUAUUCUUGGGCAGUUCUGAAAUUUCGAAGGAUUCAAACAGCUGCCUAUAGAACGGAAAGGGAGCCACGGGUUCUUUAGGGAAGGGAGAAGAGGUGUGUCCUUAGGUCUACCCUGUGUCCCCUUUGUCCACUUACCAGUCGUUAACAAUGUAUACAUUGUAUCUUCCAGAGAAUAGUGUGCAUGGUCUGUUGGCGUUGGAAGAUAUAAUUUAUACAUUGAAGAAAUAAAGAACUCCUCUCAGAUUUCCAGUACCCAUCUUUCACAAGCGCACACAUACACACACACCCUACAUGGUCUUAGCAUUGUCUCUGAUUAAGUCAGACCCCUGAAGUUCACGUUGUCUCAAGAGAAAUGUGCUUCCGACUUCGGAGGUUAAGUCUAAAGGAAAUUGAGUGUGUUUGCUUGAUUUUAGCAGUUUGACCUCUGAGUAUAUGGUCAGCAGGACGGGGAGGUAGGAGCAGGCCGCACACAAGCCGAAUUAAAACGAAGCCCUGGCAUCACUCAGGAAAGCCUUCUCCCACCUGCUUUUCAUUUCCUCUAGUUAUUUCUGGUAAUGAAGGUUGGAACUGCAGCUAUAUAUUUUGAGGUCUUGAAGGUCUAUAUAUUUUUUUCCUAUACAAUAUGCUAGUGAUUAAAUAUAUGUCUCUGUUGUUCACAGAAAAAGACAAGGCCUAACUGUUCUUGAAAACACCUUAAAGGGCAUUUCCUUAAAGAUUGACCACACCUGCCUUUCAACUUGGCCUUUCGUACGAAUCUACCUGGAUGUCUGCCUGCCACAGUGCAGCCUUCCAACUUGGCCAUUGUCAUCCAAGAUUUUCUUUAUCAUUCUGAAUGCUGACUUUGGCUUUCAUGAACGGCCAAAAUGACAACUUGGAAUAAUAAAGUCCACUCAUUUUUAAAUAUGGCGGGAGACGUCUCAGGAAGAUUGAGGGCAUUCGGAUGGGAAAGCAGCCCUUCCUGAACUCACUUCUUCUUGGACUUUUAAUUCUCCAGUCAUCCCUCAGGCAGGAAUGAUGUCUGUAUCAGAAGAAUGGAAUGCAUGGCAGUAUUGGAGCCCUCCCUUGGGAGCUUUUAGCAUAAUUUGUGAUUGAGUUCAAGCCUGGAAUUUGUCCCGGCCCCUAAUCAAUCCUUAGGUAUUUCUGUUCUCUUCAUGUUCGUGGGGCAGGCUGCCCAUCUUGUUAUGGCCUUCCCUUGACAUUCUGAAAUACAACGUAUUGAUUGUCACUUUGCUCUCCCCUGUCUGGUAGCUUUGUAGACUCUCACCGAUGAGAGGGGAUCUGUACUAUGUAUUCACCUGCACAAGAGUUGCAUUCUUGGGAUUCACAUUGGUUCGAGUGUCUGCUGUGCCCAGAAAUCCUGAGAGGCAGUCAGCCCAGCCCCACCCUGCAAUCUGAUGUCUAUAUAUUAUGAAGGGGAAAGAAGAGGGCACUUGGAUAUAUGCAUCUGCUUGCAAUUUCCUAAUGGAAUCUGGCAGAAGAGCCUUGCAAUAGGAUAGGUUCCAGUAAAAAGUGCAUUCACAGAAGCAGUUCCCUGGGGCUUGACACCUAUUUGCCCUUUGAGAGCAUUGGGGAGAUGAAUCAUGGAAUGAGUCAGCGUUGGGUCAGCAAAGACUAGUGCUCUGAUGGGGGAGGGAGGGGAGGACUCUAAUUGUGUCCGUUUUAAUCAGAGCAUAUGCUUAGAGGAAGAAUCGAGGCAAGCAAGGUCCUGGAGGGGGAAACAUUUAAUUAUCAAAGACCAGGACUUCUGUAUCAUGCUGGGUCUUGGUGCUGCAGUUGCGGGAGAAGGCUGCACUAGAAAUUAUCUUAAAGGAGAAAGCAUGGUGCUGGAGCACGGAGCUGCCACUGAGACUAGAAGAGAACAGAUUUGAGGAGUAGAGGUCUUCCCUCUCAGAGGACCACUCUCAGGUGUGGCAAGCAUCUCGAGGCUAGAAAUACAACUCGGAAGGGUUUCUCCGCCUUCAUCUGUGUCAGUGUCUUUGGGUCUCCCCUGCCCCCUGCGUCUAAGUGGACCAGGGCUAUAAAUUUGAGCCAGGGAUGUCAAAGUAAACUUUCAAAAGCCUCUUGUGUGCCCCACCAUACCAUUCCCUUAUUAUUUCCAGCCUCACUUUAGGUCCCAGGCAGUGGGCUCAACGGUCAUGUUUUGACAUUGUGCCUUAAUAAACCUUCCUCCCCCUGGGUUGCUUAUGUCAGGUAUUUUGCUACAGAGAUGAGAUCCAAACAUUUACUUUCUUCAAAAAGAUGAGCGUUUUGUCAUUUUUUCCCCUCAGCAAUUCCUGACAGGUAUAAAUAAGGACCAUAUUUGUUUAUGGUUCACGUAAACAGCAUGCCUAAGUGUAGAUUCUUGGUUAGGGAUACUUCCUUUUUCCAAAUAUUACGUUUAUCUCUUUAACUUCAUAUGCAUGCUAUUUGCACAUUAACUCCCGACUUCUUUCCCCGUCUGAUUCCAGGUCCCCCCUUCUCCUUUCUCUCAAGUUCAUGGGCUCUUUUUUCUUUGUCAGUAACACACACUGAUUGUCUUACUUAGGGUUGUUAUUGCUGUGACGAUGAUACUGUGAGCAAGGUAAGGUGGGGAAGAAAGGGUUUAUUUGACUUACAUUUACAUAAUCUAUCAUCAAAUGUAGUAAGGGACGGAAUCUGGAGGUAGGAGAUGAUGCAGAGGCCACGAAGGGGUGGUACUUAUUAGCUUGCUCACUUUGGCUAGCUCAAUCUGCUUUUUUGAUAGAACCCAGGACCCCCAGACCCGGGGAUGGCACCGUGCACAAUGGCUUGUGUCCUGCCCUAUUAAAACUCUGGUUAAGAAAAUGCCUCACAGGUUUGCCUACAGCCAAAUCUUUGGGGACACUUUCUUAAUUGAGGUUCCUUGCUCUCAGAUGACUUUAGCUUGUGUCACAACACACAUCAACACACACACACCACACCACACACAUAUACCACACACACACACACCCACACAUCACACACCCCCCCCACACACACAUAAAUAAAUAUAUAAUUAUACCAUGCUGAGUUUAUUUAGUUUUCUUUGUACAUAUGUUCUUUUUAGGAUUGACCAGUUGGCAUUGGAUAAUCGAUUAUGAGCUCAUCCCUGGAGAAGAGUAUCUCUUUCUCAUCUGUCAAUUUCCUGUAGCUCUUCACUAGGGGUUCGGUCCUGUGAGAUUCCCCCAUCCAUGUUGGAACAUGAACUGCUGUUGUCCUUGUUUAGGGCCUAUGUAGGCAGCCAUAUUGUCGGGAUUACUUGGGUGCUGCGUUUCUGCCCUAAUAUCCUGGUUCUCUGCCUUUCAUCCUUACAGUCCAGAGGUCCUUACAAUCUUCUUGUCCCAUCUCACACAAUGCUCUCAUGUGUGGGAGCUGUGCCAUAGAUGCAUCAGCUGGAGCUGGCCAGAGCCUCCCUGUGUGAGUAAAUGCACUUGAAGCCGCAAUUAGGUUCCUCUCACUGUAUCAGAGGUGUGAUGUCACAGCACUUUCCAAUGACCGCUCAUUCUGGUUAUGAACAGACCCAGUCUUCCUUAUAUCAGUGUGCAUUAUGUUUUUGAGGCCCCCCCAACACUUCCCCUGAGGAAUUUUCAAGAGAAUGGUGGAAAGAAAUACAUUUAAAAGGAGAUCCCAAUUGUUGAAAGAGAGGCUUCACCCAGCACCUGAGGGGAACAGAUGCGGAGACCCACAGCCAAACAUUAGUCAGAGCUUAGGGAAUCCUGCAGAAGAGGGGGAGGAAGUUGUAGGAGCCAGAGGGGUCAAAGGUACCAUAAAAAACAGUCUACAGAAUCAACUAACCAGGGCUCAUAGGGGCUCAUGGAGACUGAGGCAACAGUCAGGGAUCCUUAUAGAUCUGACCUAGGUAUUCUGCUGAAAUGUUAUGGUGUUCUUGUGGGAUUCCUAACAGUGGGAAUGGAGAUGACUGUCUCUGGCUCUUUUGCCUGCUCUUGGGACCCUUUCCUCCUGCUGGGUUACCUUGUCUAGUCUUGAUGUGAGGGUCUGUGCCUGGUCUUGUGACUUGCUAUGCCAUGCUCGGCUGAUAUCCCUUAGAGGCCUGUUCCUUUCUGAAAGGAAAUGGAGGAGUGAAUCUGGGGCAUGGUAGGGAUGGUGGGGAGGGACUGGGAGGAGUGAGGGAGGGAAAACUGCUAUUGGGAUGUUAUAUAAAAGAGAAGAAUAGAUUUUUUUUAAAAAGGAGGUCCAGUCUAACAUGAUUUGGAAGAGAGUCACCUGACCUCAUGAAUAUACCAUUCACUUAAUAAAUAUUCAUUAAAACAGUUUUAAAACCCACAACACAGAACCCAAAGCACUUAGUUCACCCUGCCCAUUGCAGUCUUUCUCUGGAGUAUACUGUCUGUCUUAGUUAGGGUUUUACUGCUGUGAACAGACCAUGACCAAGGCAAGUCUUAUAAGGACAACAUUUAAUUGGGGCUGGCUUACAGGUUCAGAGGUUCAGUCCAUUAUCAUCAAGGUGGGAGCAUGGCAGCAUCCAGGCAGGCAUGGUGCAGGAGGAGCUGAGAGCUCUACAUCUUCAUCUGAAGGCUGCUAAUGGAGUUCCAGGCAGCUAGGAUAAGGCCCACACCCACAGUGACACACCUACUCCAACGUGGACACACUUUCAAUUAGUGCCACUCCCUGGGCCAAGCAUAUACAAAUCAUUACACUGUCCUUAAUUUGCUAUGUGUCUUGGCCGAAUUAUUUUCCUUCAAUAACAUAAGAAGCAAAAACCUCCUUUUCCAUUUCUUCCAACUAGUACUCGGGAUGUGUUAUCAAGACUACUGCCUAGAGCUUAGAAACAAGGGGAGGUGUCUGUGGGCCAUUCAAGUUUGUUCUCAAGUAUUAGUUAGCAAGCUAAGCUGAGAUUCAACUGGAGACCAGAGGAAGGAAACACAGGCUUACUAAAUUUACUACGAGGAAGCUGAGGUGCUAAGGGAUUAACACUCACGUGGUGAACAGUGAGCAUUGGAGUUGACUUUAGAGGCCAGAGUCAAGGUGUCUGGCCACUUUACUGCAUUCCUCCCCACCCGACAGUGACCUCAUCAUUGAACUUACCAACAGCCAGCUGAGGAAGUCGGAAGGAAUAUCGUUACACAUCGUUGCUAGCUGCGGUCCCUGCAGAUGACAUUUUUCUGUUAAAAGGAACUGUAUGACUGUAUGACAUCUCAGGGUGCACAUAAACUAAUCCCGGGGGGAGGGAGGGAGUGUCCCAGUUCAGUGAGGCUCAUCCAGAAGGCAGUGGAAGCUGACCUCAGAGAGAGGUUUGCUCGCACUGUAGGUCUGCAUGACCUCAGGUGUACGCUGCUUAAUUCGUGGUUGGGCCUCCUGUGUUAGCAAACGCUGUUUUCAGGAAAUAACGGCCAGCCUUCUAUUGACUUGCAUGUGUUCUUUCUCUUUGACAGGGAGGAGGUUGUAUGAAGAGUUGAAGAAUAAGGACCUCACCCUGCAAGCCACGGCUGCUUUUAGAGCUGUAGAGGGGCUCCCACCUGCACACGUGCACCUGUGCGCCCUUAUGGCUGUCAAAUCCCCACUAAGUACCCCACUAAACAAGUGACACGGUCCAGUCUGCAACCUCUGUGGAGAAGAGUGGGGUUUGGCCACAGAGGGAAUCCUGCUAGAAUCAGAAGGAAGAAACCAGGAAAAAAGGUACAUUCAAGAAAGGGGAGUUUGUCUAUUUGAGGGAAGUAGGCAGUCUCUCUGGCCCUUGGGCGAUUUUUAAGGGUUACAUCUGUGUGUUACCCACACAUUCCACAACCGAUUCUUGUGAUGAGCAUACAUCUUUGGGGAAAAGGUUAUGGCCUUAGUGCAAGAUGGCGUCCUUGAGAGCAACACGGAGAGGAUCCCGAGAAAAGCCAGAGUGUCUUAUUGGGGCUCUGCCUAGCAACACCUGACCCACUAUCUGGGCUGAGCGUGAUUAAGCCAGGGAUUCAUUUUCAGGAAACAAUACCCUCAGACUUGUUCUCUGGGUCCUGGAGGAGGUGAAGCAUCCCUUUUAGAAAAGAGGACAAGUCAUCUACUGUAUAUAGUGGGGUGCUUUUAUAGAAAUGAGUCCUUGCUAACAUGUUUUGAGGUAAAAAUCAGACCUUAUUACAAUUAUUAUCACUGUCUCUGUCUGUCUGUCUCUCUCUGUGUGAGUGUCUAUGUAUGUGUGUGUGUGUGUGUGUGUACAUGUACACAUAUAUGUGUGACAGAUCAAGUUACCCUGCAACUCUACAUGUAGCUUAAGUUGGCCUCGAACAUCUGGCAAUCCUCCUGCUUCAGCCUCUCAAGUGCUAGGAUCACAGACAUGAGUUUCCAUGCUUGGCACACCUUUCCUUUUCUUUUUCUUUUCUAAAUAGAAUCUUUCACACAUAUGUGUGCAACACUGUGCUUUUACUACAUCCGCAUUUAGUUUUUCAAUGUUCCACAUUAAGUUAGCUUGCAGUUAAGUGUCUACACUGAUGACUAGUAUCUACCGAGCACAUUCUACACCCCGGAUACCAUCCAUGCAUUAACUCCACGAGCAGGGGGGCCUGUUAUUGUAUUAAUUUUAUGUGUGAUGAUAUCGAGACCCAGAGAGCUCAGCAAUGUUCCCACGUGUGACAGAAGCAGGGUGUGAGUCCAGCCGCUUAUUUUUCUUGUUACUUUUAAUUGUUCACAAUACAUCUCAAACACCGUCAAAUAGUUGCCUUGCCUGCUCUUUGAGACCGGGAGCAAGGGAACACUUGGAACGCACGGACAUCACACUGAGAUACCCACCCAGGGGCAACAGUCCUGUGAAUAAAUGUGUAACAACACAAACGGGGUGAGAACUUGCUGAGACGGCAUCUGUGCUCCGGGAUAGCUGGGGCUUUGUUGUUCUUUAAGCAGGCCACAUCUGGCUCUGGCAGCAAUUUUGAGAUGCUUUACAGUGACAUGUUCCGAAGUCUACCUUCUGUGUUCGCAUCACCUGAGCUCGAGGCCAGACCUGCUGGGGCUCCUCAAUGCCUUCAGUUCCAUGCCCUUCAGAAAGCCGAGUUCUGGAUCUCCAGACUCUCAUGGGUGACCCUGGACCCAGCCAGCGCUCCUGACUUCUGUGCUAGACCCUCUUCACAAUGAGUAUGUGGUUCCACAACUAUAUCUUUCUAUUACAGAUUAAUAAUUUAGGAUUCAGAUACCCAUUCUCACUUGAAAAUUAUUCUGUGAUAUGAAAAUCUACUUAUCUAUCCUCUACAGUCUGAAUCCAUCUAUCCCACCAAAUGCAUGAAAGUAUGGAAAUUCACAGACUUUCCAUUUUCUGUCUACACUUUUCUCUUUACAUUUUUUGGAGGGAGGUGCGCUUGUUGCAGCGUGUGUGUGGAGGUUAGAGACCUGGUGGAAGGAGCUCUUUCCUUUUACCAUGUGGGUCCGGGGAUCAAAUUCAAGUUGUCAAGCUUGCAGCAGGAGCCUCUCUGCCGGCCGAGCUUCUUCCCGACCCUGGCUCAGCGGUAUCUGAGAGAUGAUGAUGGUGAUGAUGAUGAUGGUGACGGUGAUGAUGAUGAUGAUGACGACGACGACGAUUAUUAUUAUUUUAGGUCUAGAACUAAUAAGGUCCUUUGAACUCAGCCCCAUUGACUUGGUCCAAAGUUAGUGGUCCGAUUUUUUCUUUUAACCUGACAUCUUAAAACUGGAGCUGUCCCUUCAAGGGGACCAGGUGAAGCUGAGCCUGAUGCCUCCCACCUGAGAAUGAGCAGCUAGGUACGCCUCCUCACAUCAGUGGUGCCAGCACUUGGGACUUUAAUAUUGUUAGGAUUUCCAGAAGUCUCUUUUUAGUGACUGAGAUCACCCAAGUUACUCCUUCACCGAGGAACAGGCCUCAGCAGCAUUUCCUUUUCCCUAAUACUAGCCCAUCCCACCUAACCCCACAUCUACUAGGGAUGGACGAACGUGGAAAGCACUUGCUACUCAAAGUGUGGUCCUCAGCCUGGACACCGGCAACAUCCAAAAGCUUCUUAGAAGUGCAAAAGGUCACACCCAUUCAUAGACUGAUGGAACAGAAGCUCUUUAAGGAUCCCAGGCACCCAGACCACAGCAAAAUAUUUCUUGUAACCCUUGGGACUGGAGAGAUGGUUCAGCCAUUAAGAAGGUGGACUGCUCUUACAGAGGGCCUGGCAGCUUACAAAUGCCUGUAACUCUAGGUCCAGCAGGACUGCGUGCCUUUGUGAGUGGACCCACACAUAUGGACACACACAACUGAGAAAAUAUUAAAAAUAGUUCUUGGGAUUCUGGAGCCAUUGUCCCUUUCUCCUUCUAUAGUUGCUCUGAGCACUUCCCGAAUUAAGCCUUGUACUGGAAUCUUUUGUGACCCUCUGAAGGUCAGGCAUUGGAUCCCUUCUGUCAGAGUGAGCCCUUGGACUACUGGACAGGUUUCGUUUUAGCGCUUUGCCGAUGUUUACUUACCUCUCGCUGUUCAAUAAGCGUCUUUGUGAGGACAAGGAAGAAACGGCAGGUACCUGAGAAGCUUCUGCACACAGCCAGAAAGGGUUUGAACGGAAAGCCUGCUCUGCAGCAUGGUUUACUUAAUAAAUGUUAAGUGAAAACAUUAAAUGUC